Molecule: ribosomal RNA, 460 nt
Filed under: uncultured bacterium
Lineage: Bacteria
Description: partial 16S ribosomal RNA
Rfam family: Bacterial small subunit ribosomal RNA
Source: RNAcentral
CCUACGGGAGGCAGCAGUGAGGAAUAUUGGUCAAUGGGCGUAAGCAUGAACCAGCCAAGUCGCGUGAGGGCUGAAGGUUCUAUGGAUCGUACACCUCUUUUAUAAGGGCAUAAAGUGUGGGACGUGUCCUAUUUUGUAUGUACCUUAUGAAUAAGGAUCGGCUAAGUCCGUGCCAGCAGCCACGGUAAUACGGAGGAUGCGAGCGUUAUCCGGAUUGACUGGGUUUAAAGGGUGCGUCGGCGGCCUUUUAAGUCAGCGGUGAAAGUCUGUGGCUCAACCAUAGAAUUGCCGUUGAAACUGGGGGGCUUGAGUAUGUUUGAGGCAGGCGGAAUGCGAGGUGUAGCUGUGAAAUGCUUAGAUAUCACGCAGAACCCCGAUUGCGAAGGCGGCCUGCCAAGCCAUGACUGACGCUGAUGCACGAAAGCGUGGGGAUCAAACAGGAUUAGAUACCCCUGUAGUC